AGUGAACGCUGGCGGUAGGCCUAACACAUGCAAGUCGAACGGCAGCACAGUAAGAGCUUGCUCUUACGGGUGGCGAGUGGCGGACGGGUGAGGAAUACAUCGGAAUCUACUUUUUCGUGGGGGAUAACGUAGGUAAACUUACGCUAAUACCGCAUACGGCCUACGGGUGAAAGCAGGGGAUCUUCGGACCUUGCGCGAUUGAAUGCGCCGAUGUGGGAUUGGCUAGUUGGCGGGGUAAAGGCCCACCAAGGCGGCGAUCCGUAGCUGGUCUGAGAGGAUGAUAGGCGACAUGGGAGCUGAAACAGGGUCCAGGCUCCUGAGGGAGGCAGCAGUGGGGAAUAUGGGACAAUGGGGGCAAGUCUGGUACAGUCAGACCACGUGGGUGAAAAAGGCGUUCGGGGUGGAAAGACCGUUUGUGGGGAAAGAAAAGCAGCAGGUUAAUACCAAGCUGUUCUGACGGUAACGAAAGAAGAAGCACCGGCUAACUUCGUG
This 492-nucleotide ribosomal RNA is filed under the name uncultured bacterium. RNAcentral's name for it is "partial 16S ribosomal RNA". It matches the Rfam family "Bacterial small subunit ribosomal RNA", at positions 30 to 507 of the family's 1533-position model. The record is from RNAcentral.